AUUGAACGCUGGCGGCAUGCCUUACACAUGCAAGUCGAACGGUAACGCGGGGCAACCUGGCGACGAGUGGCGAACGGGUGAGUAAAGCAUCGGAACGUGCCCAGUAGUGGGGGAUAGCCCGGCGAAAGCCGGAUUAAUACCGCAUACGACCUAAGGGUGAAAGGGGGGGAUCGCAAGACCUCUCGCUAUUGGAGCGGCCGAUGUCAGAUUAGCUAGUUGGUGGGGUAAAAGCUCACCAAGGCGACGAUCUGUAGCUGGUCUGAGAGGACGACCAGCCAGACUGGGACGGAGAAACGGCCCAGACUCCUACGGGAGGCAGAAGUGGGGAAUUUUGGACAAUGGACGAAAGUCUGAUCCAGCCAGGCCGCGUGCGGGAAGAAGGCCUUCGGGUUGUAAACCGCUUUUGUCAGGGAAGAAAGCCUUUGAGCUAAUACCUCGGGGGGAUGACGGUACCUGAAGAAUAAGCACCGGCUAACUACGUGCCAGCAGCCGCCGUAA
RNAcentral lists this ribosomal RNA (498 nucleotides) under uncultured bacterium. RNAcentral's name for it is "partial 16S ribosomal RNA". It matches the Rfam family "Bacterial small subunit ribosomal RNA", at positions 29 to 523 of the family's 1533-position model. The record is from RNAcentral.